RNAcentral lists this ribosomal RNA (370 nucleotides) under uncultured organism. RNAcentral describes it as "bacterial SSU rRNA". It matches the Rfam family "Bacterial small subunit ribosomal RNA", at positions 526 to 896 of the family's 1533-position model. The record is from RNAcentral.
CGAGAGGCCCAAACGUUAUUCGGAAUUACUGGGCUUAAAGAGUUCGUAGGCGGCGCGGAAAGUAGGGUGUGAAAGCCCUCGGCUCAACCGAGGAAUUGCGCCCUAAACUGCCGUGCUUGAGGAACCUAGAGGUGAGCAGAACAGAUGGUGGAGCGGUGAAAUGCGUUGAUAUCAUCUGGAAUACCGGAGGCGAAGGCGGCUCACUGGGGGUUUUCUGACGCUGAGGAACGAAAGCCAGGGGAGCGAACGGGAUUAGAUACCCCGGUAGUCCUGGCCGUAAACGAUGAGCAUUAGGCCGGAGGGCUGCACAGCUUUCCGGCCGUAGCUAAAGUGUUAAGUGCUCCGCCUGGGGAGUAUGGUCGCAAGGCUG